This 476-nucleotide ribosomal RNA is filed under the name Centruroides exilimanus. Its description in RNAcentral is "partial 16S ribosomal RNA". It matches the Rfam family "Bacterial large subunit ribosomal RNA", at positions 1828 to 2600 of the family's 2925-position model. Lineage: Eukaryota; Metazoa; Arthropoda; Arachnida; Scorpiones; Buthidae. The record is from RNAcentral.
AUUUUUUAUGUGUUAGUUAAAAAUGAAUCCUGCUCAAUGUAAAAUAAAUAGCCGCGGUAUUUUGACUGUGCAAAGGUAGCAUAAUAAUUAGUCUUGUAAUUUAAGAAUGGGAUGAAAGGAUAAACUAGAAGACCUCUUUCUUAUUUGUUGAUUUCAAAUUUUACUUUUUAGUAAAAAGGCUAGAAUGCUUCUCUUAGACAAGAAGACCCUAUAAAACUUUACAUAGAAUAAUUUAAAAAAUUAAUGACAUGUUUUGCUGGGGCGGCGGAAAGAAAAACACUUUUAAAUUAUUGAAAAUAGCAUUAUUUUAAUACCCAGAAAUUCUGAAGUUUAAAUAAGUUACUUUAGGGAUAACAGCGUUAUAUACUUUGAAAGAUCAAAUUGACAAGUGUGUUUGCGACCUCGAUGUUGGAUUAAAUUUCCUUUAUUGCGCAAGAGCGAUGAAAGGAGGUCUGUUCGACCUGUGAAGAUUUCCA